This 193-nucleotide ribosomal RNA is filed under the name uncultured Myxococcus sp. Its description in RNAcentral is "partial 16S ribosomal RNA". It matches the Rfam family "Bacterial small subunit ribosomal RNA", at positions 338 to 524 of the family's 1533-position model. The record is from RNAcentral. Lineage: Bacteria; Pseudomonadati; Myxococcota; Myxococcia; Myxococcales; Myxococcaceae.
CCUACGGGAGGCAGCAGUGGGGAAUUUUGCGCAAUGGGCGAAAGCCUGACGCAGCAACGCCGCGUGUGUGAUGAAGGUCUUCGGAUUGUAAAGCGCUUUCGACCGGGACGAAAACCCGCUGGCCAAUAUCCAGCGGCUUGACGGUACCGGGAGAAGAAGCACCGGCUAACUCUGUGCCAGCAGCCGCGGUAAU